UAAAACAAUCUACAAGGACGCCAAGUAUUGCCAGCUGAUGUAAAUAAACAACAAGGCCCUGCCAAACUCCUGAGCUCGGUGGCCGUUUAUCACACAGGUGGACCCAGGCAUGCCACCCGAUCCCUGCACCACCGACAGCCACUGCUCUGCCACCCGGUGCCCAUGGUGUCAGGUCCGAGCUCCGUCUGGUGCACAUAUGGGACAUUUGGACACCGGGAGGAGAGGCGGUCAUCAGGCUGCUGCCCACCCUCUCCAGCCAGUGGAAGAAACUGCAAAGGAGAAUUUGCCCUUCAGAACUGACAGGCUGAAGCUUCUUGUGCCAGGACUUCCCGAGAUCUGCCCACCAACCUACACAUGACCUGGAAGCCAAGUCUCUGAAGACCUGAGAUCUAAUCUCAUUUUGAAAUCUGCACCUGCCCAAGGAGCCUAUUCCAGUGCCUGUCAUCCACACCAGGGUGAGGGGAAGGUGUGCCACUCACCAGGCCAGCUCCACAGGUGCCCUGCUCCCUCCAGAACCCUGGGGGCCUCUAUGUGAAAGUCACAGCUCUGAGCUCUGGAUGACAGCUUUCUUGCAGACAAGACUAAAUCAGCCCUGUAUGUAGUGAGAUUUUCUUAAAACCAAAUUCUCUGUCAAACAAUAAAGCAGAAAUAUAACCAAAUGCCUUGCCACAGUAUAGCUUAAGUAUUUCUUAUGUUGGCACCAUGUGGGGCACAGUUUGGGUGAAUUCCUUUUAAAUAAUAGCUGUUGUAAAAAUCUCAUGUGCACAUUA
This is a long non-coding RNA of Marmota monax (woodchuck), 770 nucleotides long. RefSeq lists it as uncharacterized. The transcript has 3 exons. The record is from RefSeq and is a predicted model, not a curated record. Lineage: Eukaryota; Metazoa; Chordata; Mammalia; Rodentia; Sciuridae.